CAGGAUCAAUGUGACUCUAAGAACAAAUGGAUGAAUGAAUAUCCAUAUGAAGAGAAAAACAAUAAAGAAUAUCAACAACUUUGAGAACAGAAUGUUAAUGCUUGAUGGGAUGCCGGCAGUCAGAGUCAAAACAGAGCUUUUGGAAUCUGAACAAGGGUCUCCAAACGUCCACAACUAUCCCGAUAUGGAAGCCGUUCCCCUGUUGCUAAAUAAUGUGAAAGGGGAGCCACCGGAGGACUCGUUAUCUGUAGAUCACUUCCAAACACAAACUGAGCCAGUGGACUUGUCAAUAAACAAAGCCAGGACGUCCCCUACUGCCGUGUCAUCCUCCCCAGUUUCCAUGACAGCGUCUGCCUCCUCACCUUCUUCAACUUCAACCUCUUCAUCGUCUUCUAGUCGUCUAGCCUCAUCCCCAACUGUUAUCACAUCAGUAUCUUCAGCGUCAUCUUCGUCAACAGUAUUAACUCCAGGGCCUCUUGUUGCCUCUGCAUCUGGUGUUGGAGGCCAGCAGUUUUUGCACAUUAUCCAUCCUGUACCGCCUUCAAGUCCCAUGAAUUUACAGUCUAACAAACUGAGUCAUGUUCACCGCAUCCCCGUGGUGGUACAGUCGGUGCCUGUUGUCUACACAGCUGUAAGGUCACCUGGAAAUGUGAACAACACUAUUGUCGUGCCGCUUUUGGAGGAUGGCAGAGGCCAUGGCAAAGCACAAAUGGACCCCCGAGGCCUAUCUCCCAGACAAAGUAAAAGUGACAGUGAUGAUGAUGACCUGCCAAAUGUGACCUUAGAUAGCGUUAAUGAAACUGGAUCUACGGCCCUUUCCAUAGCCAGAGCAGUACAAGAGUAAGUAUCACAUUCACAGGAUGAAAUAAGAAUUGCCAAGGUGUUCAAUGGAUAAUGGAAACUGCAGCAUCUCCUGUCCCCCAGCCAUGUCAUUCUAGCUGUGAACUGGCAUGAAUGUCAGCAGCUUUUCAUUCAUCUGAAUGCUCUUUGGGAGAUUAGGGCAGAGAGUGGAGUGUUUUAAAGAGUUGGAAAUUCAUGCUUUGAUGAGAUAUAAGACCUCUGUGCAUCUUUUCUAAUACCUCCUGCACCCUUCUCCUGAACUCUGCAAAAAAAAAAAAAA
RNAcentral lists this small RNA (1120 nucleotides) under Pongo abelii (Sumatran orangutan). Its description in RNAcentral is "retained intron". The record is from RNAcentral. Lineage: Eukaryota; Metazoa; Chordata; Mammalia; Primates; Hominidae.